UACGUAUGGUGCAAGCGUUAUCCGGAUUUACUGGGUGUAAAGGGAGCGCAGGCGGCACGGCAAGCCUGAUGUGAAAGCCCGCGGCCCAACCGCGGGACUGCAUUGGGAACUACCGGGCUGGAGUGCCGGAGAGGUAGGCGGAAUUCCUAGUGUAGCGGUGAAAUGCGUAGAUAUUAGAAGGAACACCAGUGGCGAAGGCGGCCUACUGGACGGUGACUGACGCUGAGGCUCGAAAGCGUGGGGAGCAAACAGG
Molecule: ribosomal RNA, 253 nt
Filed under: uncultured bacterium
Lineage: Bacteria
Description: partial 16S ribosomal RNA
Rfam family: Bacterial small subunit ribosomal RNA
Source: RNAcentral